GCUAACGUCCGUCGUGAAGAGGGAAACAACCCAGACCGCCAGCUAAGGUCCCAAAGUCAUGGUUAAGUGGGAAACGAUGUGGGAAGGCACAGACAGCCAGGAUGUUGGCUUAGAAGCAGCCAUCAUUUAAAGAAAGCGUAAUAGCUCACUGGUCGAGUCGGCCUGCGCGGAAGAUGUAACGGGGCUAAACCAUGCACCGAAGCUGCGGCAGCGACGACUAUGUGUUGUUGGGUAGGGGAGCGUUCUGUAAGCCUGCGAAGGUGACCUGUGAGGGUUGCUGGAGGUAUCAGAAGUGCGAAUGCUGACAUAAGUAACGAUAAAGCGGGUGAAAAGCCCGCUCGCCGGAAGACCAAGGGUUCCUGUCCAACGUUAAUCGGGGCAGGGUGAGUCGACCCCUAAGGCGAGGCCGAAAGGCGUAGUCGAUGGGAAACAGGUUAAUAUUCCUGUACUUGGUGUUACUGCGAAGGGGGGACGGAGAAGGCUAUGUUAGCCGGGCGACGGUUGUCCCGGUUUAAGCAUGUAGGCUG
RNAcentral lists this ribosomal RNA (527 nucleotides) under Klebsiella pneumoniae. Its description in RNAcentral is "bacterial LSU rRNA". It matches the Rfam family "Bacterial large subunit ribosomal RNA", at positions 997 to 1527 of the family's 2925-position model. The record is from RNAcentral. Lineage: Bacteria; Pseudomonadati; Pseudomonadota; Gammaproteobacteria; Enterobacterales; Enterobacteriaceae.